Pangasianodon hypophthalmus (striped catfish) is the source of this 3393-nucleotide long non-coding RNA. RefSeq lists it as uncharacterized. The record is from RefSeq and is a predicted model, not a curated record. NCBI's taxonomy places the organism in Eukaryota, Metazoa, Chordata, Actinopteri, Siluriformes, Pangasiidae. The transcript is spliced from 3 exons.
UUUCUUUCUUGUUUUCUCGUGAUCUCGACAUAACAGAAGUCGUUUUCUCGUGAUCUCUACAUAUAAAAGUUAUUUUCUCGUGAUAUAGAUGUAAAAAAAAGUCGUUUUCUCAUGAUCUCGACAUAACAAAAGUCAUUUUUUCGUGAUCUCUACAUAUAAAAGUUAUUUUCUCGUGAUAUAACAAAAGUCGUUUUCUCGUGAUCUCGAUAUAAAAAAGUAAUUUUGUCGUGAUCUCGACUUAAUUUUUCUGUGAACUCGACAUAGCAACAUGUUUUUAUUGUUCUGGAGGCAGUAAAAGCUUAGCGCAAUCCUGCAAAUUCAAAUUCAAUAAAAAAAUGUUUUCUUGUGAUCUCGAUAAAAAAGUCGUUUUCGCGUGAUCUCGAUAUAAAAGUCGUUUUCUCAUGAUCUUGACUUAAUUUUUCUGUGAAUUCGACAUAACAGCAUGUUGUUUUUAUUGUUCUGGAGACACCGAAAGCUUAGCGCAAUCCUACAAAUUCAAAUUUAGAACAAAUUCGUUUUUACUUUGCUCAGAGACUCGCUCAAGCUGAAACAGCUCUGCGUCUGUCGGUGGUUGAUAACGUCCACGUUAGUGUCCGACACUUGAGAAGGAGGUUGUCUGGUUCACACUCCUCUCUGUCUUAAUGUGGAGAUAAAGUCCAUCUCUACAGCGUGCAGUUAAUAGGUUUAUGAAGGCGAUGGCUGCCUCGCUGCUCCGGGGCUGGGGGUUCGAUUCUCUCCUCCGCCCUGUGUGGAGUUUGCAUGUUCUCCCUGUGCCUUGGGGGUUUUCUCCGGGUACUCCGGUUUCCUCCCCUAAGGUAGAACCAUCUGUGCCCACCAGGACCGUGGCCUGGACUGUGCCCACCAGGCAUCCCCCGAUCGGGCAGGAACAUACCGCGUGUCAAGCCUUGGGAUCCAGAGAGACGUGACUUUUACAGCUGGCCAAAUGUGUGGAGAUUGUGUUAUCACCAAAAGUGGCCUGCCUUUAAAAAGAAUAAAGAACGAAAAAAAAAAUCCUUGACGUUAUUUUUAACAAAAAAUGGAAGGGUAAUGAGGUUUUUGAACCCCAACUUUGUGGUAAUUUUAUAGUUUGAAUUACAGUUUUUAAAAAUUAGUUGCUCUUGUUGUUCUGCAUCUUGAUGCUGCUACACACGGCCACAUGUACAAUAGGCCACGUGUCUGUUCUAAUGAUAGUCAAACGUGGUGUGAAUAGUAAUCACGGAAGGUGCGCAUCAAUACACACUCAUGGUGGUGCAGAUUUAACAAUAACAAAAUUAGCAAGAACAAACGAUUAACUAGAAGAGAAAGAGGACGAGUGUGACGAAGCGGGGACCUUUUCACGGGGCCAGGGGAUCUCAAAAAAAUUCACAGUCCCCCUCAGUACAAAUUAUUUUUAUAAUCAAACUAUAUAAAAAAUCAGCUCCAGGGUCACAGCUCCAGGGUCCUGGGUUCAAUCCUGAGCUCGGGUUACUGUCUGUGCGGAAUUUUGCAUAUUCUCGCCAUGUUUGUUUGGGUUUCCUCUGGGUUCUCAUGCAAGUAAAUGGAUUGGCUAUGCUAAAUUGCCCAUAGGUAUGAAUGAGUGUGUGUAUGACUGUGUGCGGAUGUUUGUGUGGAUGGACUGGCAUCCCAUCGGAGGCGAAUCACGAGAUCGGCCCACCCGUAGCCCACCCGCAAGCCACACCACUUUGGGAAAAACCUACCACAAGAUCAGAUCCACUGCAGGUUACCAUGGAAACGAGGUUCAAAAUAUUGAAAUAUUGAAUGAACAUUUUCCAUUAAAUAAAUUUUUUCCAGUCCUGUCAAGUAGGAAAUGGACACAAAUGAUCUCACACUCUUUUGUUCUUGUACGUUUUGAUUUUUUUCAUCUGUUUAAACUCAAAUUCAUUUUACCCCAUAGACUCUUUUAAGAGACACGCACUGAGAUUUCCCAAAAAAGCAGAAGGUCAGUGUUGUAAACGCAAGCAGUAGGCUAUGUAAAUAAGGCCCUUCUUUUUUAAGGGAAACACACAUUUCUGCGUCCCCUCAUUCACCCUGCUCACUGCCUCUGGUUGCUGAGAGACCUUCCUCAUUUUGAGAAAAUCUGCUUGUAAACAAGUCCAUGCAUGUGUCAGGGUUGCCAGGUCCACCAGUAAUUGGCCGCUUUCCUUGAACCUAGCUAAUGAAUUGUUUAUGUCUGCAGAUCAGGCGUUGCCUUAGAUUAAAUAUAUAAAAUAUUUUUGCAAGCUGGAGCUGGAGUGUUUUUAAUGCAAAUAACUGAAGGCAUAGUCUAUUAGUUAUUACACAGAAUGUGGGUGAAAUGUAUAGGUGAAAUGGUGUGUUGGAGAAAUAGAAAUAAUGUAUUGUAACUAUUAGAUUCAUUUAAAAUUAAAUGAUGAACUACAUUUACUGUAUAAAUGUAGUCAUGUGAAGAGGGGUCAGUGAAUAGGUUUACUCAUUCCCAGUUCAAUUCAGUGUUAUUUGUGUAGCACUUUUACACACAAUGGCCUUCAUUUAUCAAUCUUUUAGUAGUAAAGUGGUGUGUAAAUGUUUGUGUAAAUCAAACCGAGCUAAAAUUUUCUGCCAGAUUUACAAAGGUUUUGGAAACGCUGAUUUUCUUUGUACUCGCGUGUGUAUGUUGAUCAGCUGUAAAGUACGAAGCACGCUCCCAACACAGCUCAUUUGCAUAUCCUGACGCCCACAAAACCCCAUAAAAGGUAUAAAGCACAGACAGCUGGGAGCACGAAAUGAGCGAUCAGAGUAAAGGCUGAAAGACAGAAGUGGAAGUUAUUUUGACUCGCUUCUAUACCAAUAAAAUAUUUAAUAUAAUAUUAAUCCUCCGUCAGCCGAGGCGUUUGUUUACGGCUUACGGCUCUGCGCAGACAGACCGACUCCGUUUAUACACCGCCAUUUCUUUAGUCAUAAUUGAAUGAUUCGUUUUAUUUGUCUUCAUUUAUGGGUUUGUGUCAGCUCGCUUUCUUUAUUUUUCAUGUUCUUUAAUUAAUGCCAAUAAAAUAAAAUGACUGGUUUUCAGAAAAUGCUCUCAAUGGCACUUUUAGUCCCUGACUGAGUGACCUAGCAUGAGGAUGUGUUUUUGAUAGACUCCAAAGUUCUUUUAUAAGUCACUCUGGAUAAGGGCGUCUGCUAAACACUGUAAACCUAAUAAAAAUAAGCAAUUUGAACUCGACAGUAUAUUCCAGAUAUAAAAGUGCAGUAAUCUACGCCGAUUACGAUUGAAGUCGAACAAGUCGAGGUUUACAAUAGUUAGUCUUUUUAUGUGUAAAUUUGCACACACUCAGGAGAACAAGUAGGAUACAAAAGUUUUUCUGAAAUUACAGGAUUUUCAUGAAGCCCAAAUUUCUUGUGUAAACACUCAUAUAAAUGAAUCAGUUCGUAUCCAGCUUGGUAAAUGAGGCCCAU